Long non-coding RNA from Nematolebias whitei (Rio pearlfish), 240 nucleotides. RefSeq lists it as uncharacterized. The transcript has 3 exons. Lineage: Eukaryota; Metazoa; Chordata; Actinopteri; Cyprinodontiformes; Rivulidae. The record is from RefSeq and is a predicted model, not a curated record.
GCCAUGCUGAGCUGAGAGACGGCGACCUAGCCAAGCGUUGCCCCGCUGCUACCCCUUCAAAACACGCCGGGAGGAAAGCGGAAACAAAAGCAAGGAAGUUCUCCUCACGAUCUGUCUUGGUGCUGGAUUUCUCCCUCAGCCAUUUCUGAAUCUGGGAAGAAUAUCUUAAGAAGAUUUAAUGAAUCAAUAUUUGCCAACCACUGCUAUGACUGACAACCUGAGGAUAUUGUAAUUCUCUCC